RNAcentral lists this ribosomal RNA (253 nucleotides) under uncultured bacterium. Its description in RNAcentral is "partial 16S ribosomal RNA". It matches the Rfam family "Bacterial small subunit ribosomal RNA", at positions 524 to 776 of the family's 1533-position model. The record is from RNAcentral.
UACGAAGGGGGCUAGCGUUGUUCGGAAUCACUGGGCGUAAAGGGCGCGUAGGCGGCCGAUCAAGUCGAGGGUGAAAGCCUGUGGCUUAACCACAGAAUUGCCUUCGAUACUGUUUGGCUUGAGACCGGAAGAGGUAAGUGGAACUGCGAGUGUAGAGGUGAAAUUCGUAGAUAUUCGCAAGAACACCAGUGGCGAAGGCGGCUUACUGGUCCGGUUCUGACGCUGAGGCGCGAAAGCGUGGGGAGCAAACAGG